AGCUGACGUUGCCUAGGGUAUACUCCCACCCUUGUUAUACCUACCUAUCGUUGCUUUCGGCGGGGGGGCCCUCAGUCCCUCGCGCCCACCGGCCUUCUGCUGGUCAGUGCAGCCCGCCAGGAGGCCGUCCUAAACUAUAGUUGCUAAUAUUGGCUCUCUGAGUACUAUAUAAAUAGUCA
Molecule: unclassified non-coding RNA, 179 nt
Filed under: soil metagenome
Description: partial internal transcribed spacer 1
Source: RNAcentral